RNAcentral lists this ribosomal RNA (296 nucleotides) under uncultured Meiothermus sp. RNAcentral describes it as "partial 16S ribosomal RNA". It matches the Rfam family "Bacterial small subunit ribosomal RNA", at positions 28 to 334 of the family's 1533-position model. The record is from RNAcentral. Lineage: Bacteria; Thermotogati; Deinococcota; Deinococci; Thermales; Thermaceae.
GGUGAACGCUGGCGGCGUGCCUAAGACAUGCAAGUCGAACGGGCCUGAUUUCGGUCAGGCUAGUGGCGGACGGGUGAGUAACACGUGGGUGAUCUACCCAAAGUCUGGGACAACUAGGGGAAACCUUAGCUAAUCCCGGAUGGUGAGGCUUCUCCUGUGAAGUCUCUAAAGAUUUAUCGCUUUGGGAUGAGCCCGCGGUGCAUCAGCUAGUUGGUGGGGUAAUGGCCUACCAAGGCGACGACGCGUAGCUGGUCUGAGAGGACGACCAGCCACAGGAGCACUGAGACACGGGCUCC